CAGACUCUGCAUUCCAAAAUACCACACCUAAACUCUGUGCUCAAUAUCUCUCCAUUGAAUGUACCAUACAUCCCAAAUAUUAAUAUGGACUAUCAAAUUUCCUUACAGUAUCCUUACAAUUAAAUGGUAUUGGUAUCUCAGCAUCAAACACAAACCCACCUAUACAUCAUAGAGGCGGAAAAAUUAUUUAGUCCCUCGAUGCAGAUUGAGAACCUAUUGGGCUAAUAUAUUCAGAAAUCAACAUUUUUCAAUCAUUGUAUAGCACAUUUACAUGCUGAAUCUUCAUUGUGUACGGACAGUUAUCCCACUCAUGAUCUGGAGGUCUGGGAUAGUUCAAUUAAAUUUCGUAACAUAACCUUACUGUAUGAAUAAAGAUAAACACCUUAGAAAUGAUUUCCAUCUCCAUUCCCUUGAGAUGCCACCAUGUUUAGGGGAGCCCUGACAUCAACCAAAAAGGUCCAGUCUCUAUUUUAGGAAACCCAAGGUGCUGAUAGAAUGUGACAUGUGUGCAGAUUAAACCUCUUUCCGCCCAGAAAGAUAUACUAUCGUGUUAGCAAGAGCAAGAGGAAACUAAAAAAUGUCAACCAUUAGUUAAUAAAAUCUGUUUUGAAUUGUUUCAGUAUUUCUUUUUUUUUUUUUUUUAGCACUCAUGAAUAUUCACUAUUGCAGAUUCUGCCUGUGAGAUUGAACACAGCUUUCAGGGACAAACUCUGAAGCAUGGCAGUCCUCAGCAUUCCACUCACAAAGAUAUGAACAGUCAAGUUCAGGGGAGGGUUACACAUUGAAACAGGCUAACACGUACCAGGAGCUGUCGCUAAAGGCCAGCACCAACCCAGACAACACUGCACUACUGUUCACUAAUAAAUUGGAUUUCACCACGAGCACGUUAGCACUCACUCUGGACUUGUGAUCGUGUUUGUGUUCUGUGUGUGUUUAUACUGUGUUUAUUAUUUUGGGACUGAACCCCGAAGUUUCAUUGUGCAAUACAAUUUGCUGUGUAUUGCCUGGGAUCAUUAUUUAUGGUCACCAAAUGGCCAGGAUUAUAAAAAUAAAGGAUUGUUUGGACCGUGAA
Molecule: long non-coding RNA, 1072 nt
Organism: Acipenser ruthenus (sterlet)
Lineage: Eukaryota; Metazoa; Chordata; Actinopteri; Acipenseriformes; Acipenseridae
Exons: 2
Source: RefSeq, a predicted model, not a curated record